AAUGUGAAUUGCAGAAUUCAGUGAAUCAUCGAAUCUUUGAACGCACCUUGCGCCCCUUGGAAUUCCGAGGGGCACACCCGUUUGAGUGUCGUGAACAUCCUUCAACCUUUCUUGGUUUCUUGACCGAGGAAGGCUUGGACUUUGGGGGUCUUUCAUUGCUGGCCUCUUUGAAGCCAGCUCCUCCUAAAUGGAUUAGUGUGGUCUGCUUUGCCGAUCCUUGACGUGAUAAGAUGUUUCUACGUCUUGGGUUUUGCACUGUCGCUUUAGACCCCGCUUCUAACUGUCUCGUCUUGCAUUCAAGACAGAGUUUUUAAACCUUGACCUCAAAUCGGGUGAGACUACCCGCUGAACUUAA
This 355-nucleotide small RNA is filed under the name uncultured fungus. RNAcentral describes it as "eukaryotic LSU rRNA". The stretch from base 1 to 91 matches the Rfam family "5.8S ribosomal RNA", at positions 64 to 154 of the family's 154-position model. Lineage: Eukaryota; Fungi. The record is from RNAcentral.